RNAcentral lists this long non-coding RNA (199 nucleotides) under Capsella rubella. RNAcentral describes it as "long non-coding RNA (CRUB_LNC001219)". Lineage: Eukaryota; Viridiplantae; Streptophyta; Magnoliopsida; Brassicales; Brassicaceae. The record is from RNAcentral.
CUUAUUACUUUUCCUAACCAAAACCUUAAAGCACGUUACAGCCUAUAUAAAUAAAUAUAAUGAUCGAAACAAUGCAAACAUUUCUCAAAACGUGGAGGAAACACAAGUACACCACUUUUUUUUUUUUUUUUGUCAUCCACAAGUAGUCAACGAACAUUGGUUUUUUUUUCUUUUUUCUUUUUUCUUCUUUUUUUUUUUU